RNAcentral lists this transfer RNA (88 nucleotides) under Flavobacteriales bacterium. RNAcentral's name for it is "tRNA-Leu". It matches the Rfam family "tRNA". From Rfam's summary of the family: Transfer RNA (tRNA) molecules are approximately 80 nucleotides in length. Their secondary structure includes four short double-helical elements and three loops (D, anti-codon, and T loops). Lineage: Bacteria; Pseudomonadati; Bacteroidota; Flavobacteriia; Flavobacteriales. The record is from RNAcentral.
GCCCGGGUGGUGAAAUGGUAGACACGAGGGACUUAAAAUCCCUUGGUCCGCAAGGGCUGUGCGGGUUCAAGUCCCGCCCCGGGCACCA